Molecule: ribosomal RNA, 252 nt
Filed under: uncultured bacterium
Lineage: Bacteria
Description: partial 16S ribosomal RNA
Rfam family: Bacterial small subunit ribosomal RNA
Source: RNAcentral
GACGGAAGGUGCAAGCGUUGCUCGGAAUCACUGGGCGUAAGGGUGCGUAGGCGGCCGCGCAAGUCUGGCGUGAAAGCCCCGGGCUCAGCCCGGGAAGGGCGCUCGAAACGGCGCGGCUCGAGCGCCGGAGGGGAGAGUGGAAUUCCUGGCGUAGCGGUGGAAUGCGUAGAGAUCCGGAAGAACACCAGUGGCGAAGGCGGCCUGCUGGGCAGUUGCUGACGCUGAGGCGCGACAGCGUGGGGAGCAAACGGG